AGGCACUGAUAAGCCAUGAUAUGAUUGACUUAGAAACUAGAAUUCAAGAGAGCAUAAGUACAAUUUUUCAGCUAUAUAUUGGAGAAGUACUCAAGACAGCAAAUUACAAAACUUGUUUAACCCAGUUGUAAACUGUGUUGUUUUCAAGAUACUAAUAUCAUACAUAUGAAGCACUUCUGCAGGUGACCUGGGGCAGAGUGUAGUCUUCCAAGAUAAAGGAAUUGAGAUUGGCCUUCCUAUCACCUGAGGUAAAUAGUCCAAGUCAAAGUGACUUCAAAGCAGGUAUGUUAUCUGCCUCCUCAAUUCAUUGCUGCCCAUAAAUCUUUUCUGUAUAUAAAUUUUGGAGCCAAUAUCAACCAUAUUGCAUGAAAUUCUAUCCCUUACAUGUUAAUUAUACUAUUACAUACUAAUUUCAUACUAUUGCAUGAAAUUCUACUACUUAUAUACUAAUCUUAAUAACUACCCUGAAUUCUGCAAAUUACAGAUGGAGAGCCUGUGACUCAGAAAGGUUGAGUAACCUCCCAGGAUCAUAGAAGUAGAUAAGAAGUGGCUGAACCCUGCUGUCUAAAAGCUGUGUUCAGAAGGAAAGAGUAACUGAUGAAUUAACUUAAUCCAUGUGUCAUGUAUGGGCCUAUCUUUGAGGGAAUAUUAGUAACUUGCUCUUUAAAAUUGUCAUGAUUUUUCCAUUAAAACAACUGAUCUUUGUGCAGCAGAAAUUUGAACUUUCUGACCUGAAUUGUGUUUGUAAGCAGGUGUUAGGAAGUAAUUAGUAGGCAAUGGUGUAGAUCCUGGUCACCUGUUACAGCUAGAAAGAGACUUCAGCUAGCAUCUGAAUGGUAUAUUAUAAAGUGGCUGACUUCACACACUUAGGCAUUAUUUUCCCUUACUGAGAAGUUACCCACAACUGUAUUCUUCUGGAUAGGAUCAGACAAGAAACUGCCUACUACAUGCAUAUCAUCAAAAGGCCAGAAGUACCCAUCCCAGGAGGAUUGACUGUAGCUCUGGACACCACACAAGAUCACCAGAGGGACUGGGGUUGUGGUUCAGUGAUAGAGCAUUCACCUAGCAUGUGUGAGACACUGGGUUCAAUCCUCAGCAUCACAUAAAAAUAAUAAUAAAUACAGAAAAUAACGAGAUUGUGUCCACUACAACUAAUAAUAUUUAAAAAAAAAAAAAUCACCAGAGAAAGAAGCUGAGGGAGCCACUAAAACCUUAUGCAAAGGCUUUUUCAAACCUGUCCUCCAGCUGUAACUCUUUCCAGUCUUCAAUCCAGGGAGAUAUGUAGGUUGAGAGACACUGGCCAGUGUCACUCAAUAAUAAGGAAGUAAGGAGUCCUCUUCUUUAUACCUGCCUGAUUAACAUUUACUCCUAGGAAACAAUUAAUAUUUAAAAAGCUCAAUAUUUUAAAAUCCUUAUAUAUUGACUGCUAUUUUGGGUAAAUUGCUAUUAAAUCAAGGCAAGAUGGCAAAACAUGAAAAUGGGAAAUUGGCUUUUAUCUUUUUAGCCUUAUUCUGUUUUACAGAGUUAUAUUUGCAUCGUGAAAGCAUUUACCUUCAAAUGACUUCUUGAAAAUGUAUGAAAAAUAAAAGGAUGAUCAUCUGUCCUGUACAUUGCUUUGAUCAUUACAGAAAUCAGUUGGAGUUCUCUUCUAACUGUGAGCCUGGCAGCUGAAAUGGGCAGGAGAGAAGCCAUUCUGUGUCUUCUUCCUUGUGAUGCUACUACAGAGGCCUGGCUUAUGAAAAGCAGGACAUUUGGUUUAGACAGAUGGAGGGUAGGGUCAUUUUCAAAAUGAAAACGAGUGUACUAAUCACACUGGGAAAUUGGCACGACCAUCACUGCUGCUGUGAUAGACUGACUUUUAUUUAGUCUCUAAUAGGCAUUUGGGGAAUAGAUUGGCUUUUUAGGGGAGAUGGAGGAAAGAAGGCCCUUUAAUUAACAAUAGAAAUUCUAGAAAGCAAUAAACUAGGUAGGAUAUUAUAAAUAAUCACAAAGAAUCAUUUUGUUUGCAACAGAAUCUUAAAAGCUGGAGCAUAUAUAAAAAAGUAAGUCUGUAAUACCAUUCCCAGCAAUAAGAAGGCAUUUGUGUUAAUAAAUGAUUUAAUGCCUUAAAGAAAGGAAUUGGGCUUUCAGGAAAUGGCUUAGGACUCAGGGUGGAUUUUGCUGAAUAAGGGGAGGCAAAUUUACUGUGUAGAAUUCCACUGAGGCAUAGUGUGGCAGGGCUGAAAAGCAUGAUAUUUGGUUCUGAAUUUAUUUAUGUUUCUGCCUGCCAAAAUGUGACAUGACUAAAUUUCAUGUAUUCUAUUUGGCAGUCUCUUUUAAAACUAGUUGCGAG
RNAcentral lists this long non-coding RNA (2332 nucleotides) under Marmota monax (woodchuck). Lineage: Eukaryota; Metazoa; Chordata; Mammalia; Rodentia; Sciuridae. The record is from RNAcentral.